CAGGGUCUUAGUAGCGGCGGAGGGUGAGUACACGUGGGUACCUGCCUGUAAGACUGGGAUAACUCCGGGAAACCGGAGCUAAUACCGGAUAGUUCCUUGAACCGCAUGGUUCAAGGAUGAAAGACGGUUUCGGCUGUCACUUACAGAUGGACCCGCGGCGCAUUAGCUAGUUGGUGGGGUAAUGGCUCACCAAGGCGACGAUGCGUAGCCGACCUGAGAGGGUGAUCGGCCACACUGGGACUGAGACACGGCCCAGACUCCUACGGGAGGCAGCAGUAGGGAAUCUUCCGCAAUGGACGAAAGUCUGACGGAGCAACGCCGCGUGAGUGAUGAAGGUUUUCGGAUCGUAAAGCUCUGUUGUUAGGGAAGAACAAGUGCGAGAGUAACUGCUCGCACCUUGACGGUACCUAACCAGAAAGCCACGGCUAACUACGUGCCAGCAGCCGCGGUAAUACGUAGGUGGCAAGCGUUGUCCGGAAUUAUUGGGCGUAAAGGGCUCGCAGGCGGUUUCUUAAGUCUGAUGUGAAAGCCCCCGGCUCAACCGGGGAGGGUCAUUG
Molecule: ribosomal RNA, 557 nt
Filed under: Bacillus pumilus
Lineage: Bacteria; Bacillati; Bacillota; Bacilli; Caryophanales; Bacillaceae
Description: bacterial SSU rRNA
Rfam family: Bacterial small subunit ribosomal RNA
Source: RNAcentral